Molecule: long non-coding RNA, 3373 nt
Organism: Prosopis cineraria
Lineage: Eukaryota; Viridiplantae; Streptophyta; Magnoliopsida; Fabales; Fabaceae
Exons: 4
Source: RefSeq, a predicted model, not a curated record
CCCUUAUCCUUUCAGCUUUAGCAGGGAGAGACUGAGAGGGAGUGAGCUUCAAACCCCUUUUGUAUCUUCUCCAAUCUUUCUUCGCCGCAUUCCUUUUCAUCCAUCGCCGGCGACCACAAACAAGCUAGAGAUUCCUCUUCCUCCUCGGUUCAUGCAACAGUUGCGGUGAGGGUGUGUGACGGGACUUCUUUUUUCUUUUUGGCCCAUGGUUGCACUGCUAGUUGGUGCUGCUUGCUCUUUCCGCCGCUGAUUGAAGGUGAGGAGCUUCGAACUCCCUCCUCCUUGUUGGUUCUGUUCGUGUAUGUGUGUUUAAAUUGCAAUAAUUGUGAAUUAUUCCCUUUCUUUAUUGCUAUGUGUGUCGUAUAUAUGAGGAAGGAAGGGUUUAAAUAAGCUGAAAAUUUUCAGUUUAACGUGCAAGAUGAGGAUAGUGUUGAUUUGAAUUUUAUUUGAGCUUAAUCUGAUUCUUGAUGGGCUAUGGUUUUGAAAAGUAUGAUAAAUCUAAAUGUUGAUGCUGAAUUUUUUUUUUUUUUGGCAGAUGAUUGAUGGAUAAGAAGCUCCAUUGAGUAAAUUAGGAAUUGAUGCAUAUUAAGUGUUUGUUGAAAGGUUUGAAGGAGGAUUAGAUCUCAUUUAAAUAACUAGUUAUGGCUAGAGGAGUAUAUAUGAAGGAAAUUGGUGAUAAAUAAUGAUGCUUGGGAAAACUUUUAGAUAAUGAAUUUUCGUAUUCUUUUUAAAUUUUCCUGAUUAUGUGAAAAUUGGGAAGUUUAAUAAACUCAUAUAUUGACAUUAGAAAAUGUUAGGAUGAGAUUGAGGAGGAAAGAACUUAGAUGUACAGUGUUCACACUAAUGUCUAGGAGGUGUUUGAUAAAAUGUUUGUAAGAAGAAAUUUUGAAUUAUAGUGGUAAAAAAAAUAUUGUGAUGAUUGUAUUGCUGUAAAUUAGAACUAUGGAAGGCAAUUGUUUUCUACAAUGAAAGUUAGAAUGGAAUUAGAGAUCUUUUUUUUUUUUUGGGGGGGGGGGGUGGGGGAAUCGUUUGGUUUCCAAAUUCAAGCUCCAAAUUGUUUACACACAGACACACAUCUUGAAGAUGUCUAUGGAAUAUUUGAUGCAUGUCUGAAAAUGGUUAGAGUUAAGAUUUAUCUAUUCUACACCUCUGAAUUUUUGCACUGUAGAUUCUUGGAUGUAAAGUGUGAUGUGUGUGUGUGUACAUCCAUGAUUUAAAUUUAACUACAUGUGCUUUAGAAGAGUUGGAAAGUAAAAAAAAGUUAUUAUAUAAACAAAGUGCUGGAUAGAAAGUAUAUAUACACAAUACUUCAAGGAUUGAAAGGUCAAAGUUAUAAAUUGGGCUGAUUUGAGAAUUUAGUUGAUUACAGUAUUGUUAAUAUUGGAAAAGAGUUUAUUAAACUUGAAUGUAUGUCAUUAAGUUUUCUUUUUAUUUGUUAAUGGUAUUUAGAGGAAGGAAGAUUUGAUUGGAGCUCUAAAGAGUGAAUUUUAGUGCUUGAGAACAUUACAGGUAAGAUGAGGAUGAGAAGACUAUGGGAAGGUGAAAAUCGAUGCUGACUGUGAAGAUGAGGAUGUUGCAGCUGCAGUGAAGUCAACCCUGUGCUUGUGUUUCUCCAAUCAUUUUUAAUUUCACUUGUGCUUUCAUAUGCAUAAGUUGAGUCAGAUCAUAUUAAUUAUAUUUAAUGUCUCAAAAUAUGGUGGCCUAACCUUAUGCUUAAAUCUGUGCUUGUUGCUACAACCAAUACCUGUCUUUCUAGAUUAUGCUUUAAACAGUUCUUUCAUAGUAAUUCAAUUGAGCUUUUAUUUUAGAUUACAAUCAAUCAUGUCCUUCGCAAGAGCUUGUGGCAACGGAUCUGCAUGGCUUGGAGUGGAGGUUCCCUGUUAUAUUUUUUUAAUUCUUAAUAUGUAUUAGGAUUUAAUUUCUAGAGUUGAUCAAAAUACUAUAUCCUGUUUUUGUUUCUAUUUUGGAAUACAAAUGUAAUUGCAUUGCAAAUGUAGAGUUGUUCCUAAGAUUAGGCCUUUUUUCGGGGGCUGAAUUUUUUUUGUGGAGUUUGCAUAUGUUAAGAAAAAAACAGAGCUUGCAACUCGGGAAGCUGAUCAAAAAAGGAGAGAGAGGCUAGUAUCUCAGUUUUUUGAAGUUAGUAAAUUUUAUGUUAAUUAGUUUGAGUCUAAAUAUAAUUUAUGUAUUUUUAGUACUUACCAGAGGUAUGGAUAUAUCUACUUUUGGCGGAGGUUUUUUAGUUCUUCAUUUACUUAUAUGCAUUUAAAAUCUUUUUUGUUGUGCACUUUAUUUAUGAAGAGUGUUAUCAUGCGCUUUUGUUUUUCUAGAGGCACUUCGGGAUGGUCAGAUAGAUUUGUCUUAGCUUGGAAUUGAUCCAAGUACAUUGAUUUCUGAAGUAAUGGCAAGUUUACUUUGUAAAGGUGCUCUUUGGUUCACUAUUUUGUAUUUUGCACAUGUGUGACACCAAGACAAACGGUGGAUGGAAAUUAACUUCACAUCUUUUAGGUGCCAUAUUAGUCUUCUUUGUUUUUUUUUUUUUUAAAAAAACUUUAGAUAAACUACUUAAAUAAAAGGCAUGAAUGUUAUGAUUUACACGUGGCAUGAAUGCAGCUUUCUUCCAAAGAGUCUUCAUAUGUUCUUGUUGCUUGUCCCAUCUUCCAAAAAUUUAUUGAUACUUGGCCUACUGAUCUCAUUAUAGAUUUUCAUCUUGAAAGAUCUUUGAGGACAAUCAAAAUUGAACUUUUAGUGCAGAUGCAAGUAAUCUAUCCUGUUUCUAUGUCAAUUUUAUCUUCACGAUUAGAAUAAGUUCCAAAAUUGUUUUACCUAAGUGUAAAAAUAGAUUUCACCAUGGCACACGUGCAUUUAGUAAUCAUCUCUGUAAUGUUUUUGUUCUGCCCCUUCGUUGGUUUUUAUAUUCUUAGUGUGACUGUAGAGUUGCAAUGACAAUAUUCAAAGGUUUUGUACAUAUAUGUUUCAAGGGAGUUGACUGCUUGAAGUAUGAUAAUUGUGAGGAUACACAUGGUCUUAGUCCAAAGGAAAGGUAUCAAUGUGAAGCAUUUAAGUGAACAUAAGAGGCUGUUUAUGGAAGAGGAAAUUGAUAAUUACGUUUUGUGAAUACAUGCACCCCAUAGUGAGUGAAGUUCUAAUAAAAUAUGGAAGGUCCACUUUAUUCUCUAUUUAUGAAUGGGACUUUGCGUCAAGUAUAUGGUAAUGAUUGCAUUUUGUGAGUUUUGUACCUACCAUUACAGUUUUGCUUUUUUUUUUAUUUUAGGAAUAAGUAUAAGCUUGAAGCUUUUCAUGCAGAUAGUUUUUUUUCCCCCUUGUUAGGUUUAGUUUGAAGAAUUGCAGAACAAUGAUAUCUUUUAUUUUGGCA